RNAcentral lists this ribosomal RNA (402 nucleotides) under uncultured bacterium. RNAcentral's name for it is "partial 16S ribosomal RNA". It matches the Rfam family "Bacterial small subunit ribosomal RNA", at positions 355 to 774 of the family's 1533-position model. The record is from RNAcentral.
UGGGGAAUAUUGGACAAUGGGCGAAAGCCUGAUCCAGCCAUGCCGCAUGAGUGAAGAAGGCCUUUGGGUUGUAAAGCUCUUUUAGUGAGGAAGAUAAUGACGGUACUCACAGAAGAAGUCCUGGCUAACUCCAUGCCAGCAGCCGCAGUAAUACGGAGAGGGCUAGCGUUAUUCGGAAUUAUUGGGCGUAAAGGGCGCGUAGGCUGGUUAAUAAGUUAAAAGUGAAAUCCCGAGGCUUAACCUUGGAAUUGCUUUUAAAACUAUUAAUCUAGAGAUUGAAAGAGGAUAGAGGAAUUCCUGAUGUAGAGGUAAAAUUCGUAAAUAUUAGGAGGAACACCAGUGGCGAAGGCGUCUAUCUGGUUCAAAUCUGACGCUGAAGCGCGAAGGCGUGGGGAGCAAACA